AGCAGCCGCGGUAAUUCCAGCUCCAAUAGCGUAUAUUAAAGUUGUUGCAGUUAAAAGCUCGUAGUUGAACCUUAGGCCCGUGCGGGCGGUCCGUCCUCUGGGCGAGCACUGCCUCGUCGCGGGUCUCACCUUCUGGCGAGCGCGGAUGCCAUUUAUUUGGUGUCCGCGGGAACCAGGACCUUUACCUUGAAAAAUUGAGUGCUCAAAGCGGGCUCCGACGCUUGAAUACAUUAGCAUGGAAUAAUGAAAUAGGACGAUGGUUCUAUUUUGUUGGUUUCCGGGACCGUCGUAAUGAUUAAUAGGGAUAGUUGGGGGCAUUCGUAUUCAAUUGUCAGAGGUGAAAUUCUUGGAUUUAUUGAAGACGAACUACUGCGAAAGCAUCUGCCAAGGAUGUUUUC
Molecule: ribosomal RNA, 398 nt
Filed under: uncultured Glomeromycotina
Lineage: Eukaryota; Fungi; Glomeromycota
Description: bacterial SSU rRNA
Rfam family: Eukaryotic small subunit ribosomal RNA
Source: RNAcentral